Cephus cinctus (wheat stem sawfly) is the source of this 3882-nucleotide long non-coding RNA. RefSeq lists it as uncharacterized. The record is from RefSeq and is a predicted model, not a curated record. The transcript is spliced from 6 exons. Lineage: Eukaryota; Metazoa; Arthropoda; Insecta; Hymenoptera; Cephidae.
UCCGGCGUCAAUGGCUUUCCUGUCACUUCCUCCAUGGCUGACCAGACAUCCUUAGGCUGAAUGUACCUAACACCCUCGAGGGUCUCCUCGUAGUACCUGUUGAACGCUCUGCCGAAUAUGAGCUUCCGUCCUGCUGUCAUGAACACGUGUUUCCCCAAGUACUCCAGGGGACUUAGACCUGGAAUGAUCAUUGGCUCAGACUAUCCAGCACCUCGAAACGAGCACUUUGUCUAGAGAAGACACGUGGUACGCUUUGCGAUGGUGGUUGUGCAGAAGACUGACGACUUCCUCUUGUACCUGGAUGCGGAUCUCCCUUCAUCCGCAGAGCCUCCUCCAAGGCGAUUUUUCUCUAGGAUAAUUAGACUGUGUCAGAGAUUGUGACGAAUCCAAGAUAAGCACCCUUAUCGUACCGUGUCACUGACUUCCACGUGUGGCAACAGACGAUCUGGCGACACUGGCGACAUGGCUGAGGAACUCUGAUGAUGCGGGGUUGGCUUAGAUACUGAUAUCUCAUUCUUUCUAGUGGCAGGUGCUGGUUCCAAAGUAAGUGCAUGCCAGCUCAGGGUGUCGGUCUCCUGUAAAAACGUAUCGUUUGAAAAACCCCUGGGUAGUUUUACCUUUGUGAAAUAUGCAGGGACGCAACAGAAGGUAACAGCAAUCCAAUUUUAGAUUACAUAAAUAUUUCAAACUGUUAAAUUUUCCUGUACAGCUUCCAGGGGUACGACUUCAGUUCAGAGAAGACAUAAGUUGGUUCGUUAAUAAUGAAUUUGAGUGGCUAUCCGCAAAAUGUGAACGAUACAUUUCUCGCAAGUAUCCUUGAGCUAAAUUUCCCAGAGACAGUGCCCUUCUCUAGGGUGUAAUUGAAAUGAAUAACCUGAUCCUGCGAGUUGGUUCUGAGGUCCAAUACAAGAGUGGUUCGCUCCCGAGGGUUACAGGUCGCAGGAGUUUCCGGAGUGGGUCUACACGUGAGUGCUGGACCACUAGCAAGAGUAGGAGCUGGGGUCAGAGGUCGUGAGUCCGUUUCAGUAUAUUUGCGAAACAAUUCCUCAGGGACGGCCGUUGCCUCGGUUCCACCAGCUACGUUCCCUGGUCCUCCUGUACCAGCAGCGUCGACACCACCAGCACCGGCCAACAGCGUCGCACGGAUCAUCUCCAUUUCCGCAGGUAUCCUUCGCACGUCGCACCACCUCCUUGGCUUCGCAAUCUGCUGGAUGAUUACACAGCACCGAGCAGCCAUAAGGAUAAGGGUUAAAGAGUCCAGCAAAGGGUCGUAGAGUAAAGGGUGCCGGUCUAGCUGACCCAGAGAGUUCGAUCCUCUGAAAACGAUGAGAAGGUUAACAGGAAAAGUGGAUAAUUAUAAAUAAUCAACAGACUUAAGGAUUGGCUCAGCAGGCAGCUAAGUACCUGGGCUCAAUGUUCUUGAAGAUGUCUGAACUAUCGAGCAAGUGAACCACGGUUAUACAAGACAAUGGAGGAAUUAUGUGUUUCAAUUUGCAUAGGGAAACGACUAUGGAAAAUCCCUUAAGCUUUAUAGCGUUAAAAGCGUCAUGGCAGAGGUGCUCAAAGCAAUAGUCAAGGGUUCUCAGCAGAUACAAAAAAAAAGAACUAAGAGACUGGUUAGUCAACAGGUACAAAUGUACCAAACCCUGGUAUCCUGACAAGUAAAGAAACCACAGACCUAAAGGAAUCCUAGAAAAGACUUCGCUGGAGUCUCAAAGCAUUUCUAGUCUAGAAACAAGGAAAAGAUAAUAUGCAACGAUCUAUCACACAGCUGUGUAAAGAAACGGUGGGUCAUAGCACCACGUCAAAAGGUAAUUACCGAGUUCAGAGGUAGUGGUCGUAAACAGCGUAAUAUCAUACACAGCGAAUCGAUAAGAGCUCGUCGACCUUAUACAAAUGAGAAGAAAAAAAGAAACGUAAAUAAAAUAUUUAAACUAUAAAGAUCGAGUUUCAGAUUGAUAAGUAUGUUUUUUUUUACAAUUUUGUAAGUUCCCACAGUAUCAAAAUAAUAUUUGAGUAAAUCCAAAUCCUGUCUUGAGACUGGUGGUUAUUAUAAAUUGAACAGACUGCGUAAUAAUCGAGCAAUCUCUUUUUAAUUACCAAAAAAAAAAAAACAGGCCGUUCGUUUACCCUUAAGAAAGCCGGAGGGUUAGUAUCACGGUAAGGGUAGGUUAACUCUUGACGUGGUUCCAAUCAUACGGUCAUGCCGUUUAAACGGCGUUAAACGGAGUCACGUAGGUGCCAGCAGGUCGCCGCCUUCUGGAACAAGGGUAUACCCCAUUGAUUUUGUGCGCUUCCAAUCAAUAUUCCCUCCUCGAGAUUAUCUCGGCACGGCUCGCGCCAAAGUUUUCGUACUACGCCGAAAAAGAGUACAGGGGUUGGUACGGAGUAUCAGGUAGACGGUAUGGGGAAUCUGGAGAUCGAUGUCCAACAACGCCGUACGGUGCUGCCACCAAUUCACAUCUGGACAGUUACGGUUAUUCGGCAUUCCCGUAUCUCAGGGUGAGUGGGCCCUCGGCACCGGAACUCGUAGUGUGUAUAAUAUUUUCAGUAACCCUCCAGAAAAAGCCUAUGGACAUCCUGAAGAUGUUAUUCAGGAAAUUCUAAUUUAUAAACAGAUGACAAAACAGCAAAUUGCGAGAAUUAACAUUGAACGAAGAGACCAGAUUGAAGAAUAUAAAAAGAUUAUUUCAAGUACUGCCGAUUGACUAGGUCGAACGUCACUACAUGCUAAACAAGAUUCCUCGAGAUUAUUGUUUACUCAUCUACUAUCUAUCUUGAGCUUGGAUUACUACAAGGGCAGGGAUUGUAUAAGUUGAAUGGAAUACCAAGGGGAAACGGUCCCCUGUGUUUUCUACGAAGAAACAGACGUUACUUAGAGUAUGGUUAUAAGGUAACAGUCAAUAGGUAAGUACUGGCUUAUAAUACAGCUGGUUUAUCGUACGUCUACCUCAAACGUGAAUUUACACAUGUUAUAUCUUUUCUUCUGCGAGUCACAUUAUUUCCUGCUGCCUACUACUCCCCACGGAGUACCUCCAUUAUCUACUAUGGUGUUUGGACUCUAUAAUGUCGAGUGACUUUUCCGCAUAACUCUUUACCGUACAUAAGAAUAUCUUUACUUCAAGGGUAGGUGUGGUGAGCGCGUGGCGGCUGGAAAGUAGGGGUAAAAAGAGGACGUUUGCCGCAGUCCCGUCUCAACGAAGGGGUCCUUGGUGGUUACAAAAAGCAGAAUAAAAUGAUAAACUUAAUUUGAGAUAGUUAUGAAAAUAUACAUUAAUGAUAAAGUUCGAACACGUGUAAUAAGGAGGUCGAAGUACAAAUAAUUUGAUAGUAUAAGGCAGUGUCGCAAACUGCUUCGCGCACGCACUAAAAAACAACUAGAUUGCAUUAACAUAGCUGGAAGUUGUUUCGUGAUUGGCUACAGCAGUACACAGCUGAUACCGAGAUUGUUGAAACUUUCUAUAUGGCAAAGAGAUAAUAUUGUUUAUAAACAGCAGGGCCCAAUGCUGACAAAUAUGUUGUAGUUAUUCCCGAGUAGAGUCAACCGUGACAGUUCUUAGCUAUGAUGCAGAUAGAAAAUAUAUUCUCUAAAGUGUAUAACGACAGUGGCUGUAUGAGAAUGGCAAACCAAGUUUAAAAAGUCUUGAUGCGGUUCUACGUGAAGCUAAGAAACCUCCUUGUAUAGCGGUAUAAGAGAGCGUGAGGCGAAUCCGUUACGUCAGAGGAUGUCGGGCUGGUAAUUUAGCAAGCGGCACCAGAAGCAGCAGUAGCAGCAGCAGCGAGUCUAGGAAAAAGGUAGUGUCAGGAAGGAAAGAAUCAGUAUGGAGAAAGGGGGCGUUGUACUACGUGGGGCACGAGGCACCUUAGCCAGGGUACCUUUGG